UUGAACGCUGGCGGCAUGCCUUACACAUGCAAGUCGAACGGCAGCACGGACUUCGGUCUGGUGGCGAGUGGCGAACGGGUGAGUAAUGUAUCGGAACGUACCUUUCAGUGGGGGAUAACGUAGCGAAAGUUACGCUAAUACCGCAUAUUCUGUGAGCAGGAAAGCAGGGGAUCGAAAGACCUUGCGCUGAUUGAGCGGCCGAUAUCAGAUUAGCUAGUUGGUGGGGUAAAGGCCUACCAAGGCGACGAUCUGUAGCGGGUCUGAGAGGAUGAUCCGCCACACUGGAACUGAGACACGGUCCAGACUCCUACGGGAGGCAGCAGUGGGGAAUUUUGGACAAAGGGGGCAACCCUGAUCCAGCCAUGCCGCGUGAGUGAAGAAGGCCUUCGGGUUGUAAAGCUCUUUCGGCCGGGAAGAAAUCGCAUAGGCUAAUACCCUGUGUGGAUGACGGUACCGGAAUAAGAAGCACCGGCUAACUACGUG
This 483-nucleotide ribosomal RNA is filed under the name uncultured bacterium. Its description in RNAcentral is "partial 16S ribosomal RNA". It matches the Rfam family "Bacterial small subunit ribosomal RNA", at positions 30 to 507 of the family's 1533-position model. The record is from RNAcentral.